GACGAACGCUGGCGGCGUGCUUAACACAUGCAAGUCGAACGGAAAGGCCCUGCUUUUGUGGGGUGCUCGAGUGGCGAACGGGUGAGUAACACGUGAGUAACCUGCCCUUGACUUUGGGAUAACUUCAGGAAACUGGGGCUAAUACCGGAUAGGAGCUCCUGCUGCAUGGUGGGGGUUGGAAAGUUUCGGCGGUUGGGGAUGGACUCGCGGCUUAUCAGCUUGUUGGUGGGGUAGUGGCUUACCAAGGCUUUGACGGGUAGCCGGCCUGAGAGGGUGACCGGCCACAUGGGGACUGCGAUAGGGCCCAGACUCCUACGGUAGGCAGCAGUGGAGAAUAUUGCACAAUGGGCGGAAGCCUGAUGCAGCAACGCCGCGUGCGGGAUGACGGCCUUCGGGUUGUAAACCGCUUUCGCCGGUGACGAAGCGUGAGUGACGGUAAUGGGUAAAGAAGCACCGGCUAACUACGUG
RNAcentral lists this ribosomal RNA (468 nucleotides) under uncultured bacterium. RNAcentral's name for it is "partial 16S ribosomal RNA". It matches the Rfam family "Bacterial small subunit ribosomal RNA", at positions 28 to 507 of the family's 1533-position model. The record is from RNAcentral.